This 500-nucleotide ribosomal RNA is filed under the name uncultured bacterium. RNAcentral's name for it is "partial 16S ribosomal RNA". It matches the Rfam family "Bacterial small subunit ribosomal RNA", at positions 30 to 523 of the family's 1533-position model. The record is from RNAcentral.
AUUGAACGCUGGCGGAAUGCUUUACACAUGCAAGUCGAACGGCAGCACGGACUUCGGUCUGGUGGCGGGUGGCGAACGGGUGAGUAAUGUAUCGGAACGUGCCCAGUCGUGGGGGAUAACGUAGUGAAAAUUACGCUAAUACCGCAUACGAUCUAUGGAUGAAAGCGGGGGAUCGAAAGACUUCGAGCGAUUGGAGCGGCCGACAUCAGAUUAGGUAGUUGGUGGGGUAAAGGCCCACCAAGCCAACGAUCCGUAGCUGGUCUGAGAGGACGACGUGCCACACUGGAACUGAGACACGGUCCAGACGCCUACAGGAGGCAGCAGUGGGGAAUUUUUGACAAUGGGCGAAAGCCUGAUCCAGCCAUUCCGAGUGCAGGAUGAAGGCCCUCGGGUUUUAAACUGCUUUUGUACAGAACGAAAAGGUUUCUACUAAUACUAAGAGCUCAUGACGGUACUGUAAGAAUAAGCACCGGCUAACUACGUGCCAGCCGCCGCAGUAA